RNAcentral lists this transfer RNA (63 nucleotides) under Lepidocyrtus fimetarius. Its description in RNAcentral is "tRNA-Leu". Lineage: Eukaryota; Metazoa; Arthropoda; Collembola; Entomobryomorpha; Entomobryidae. The record is from RNAcentral.
GCUAAAUUGGCAGAUUAGUGCGACUGACUUAGAAUCUUUUUAUAAAUUUAUAUUUAUUUAGUA